CUCAGAAGAGGAAGCAGAAGCAGGGUUGAGAGGGAGGUCCUACGGCUCAGCCAUGAGUGAGGAAAUCUAUGAAGUACGGGACAAUUUGGUGGUCACUUGGGUAAAACCCCAGAAGUCCGAGGACAACUUUGAAGAACCAGGGACCAGCUCUGAAAGGAAGGAGGAGGAGGAGAUCUUGGCUGAGUCAGAGCAAAUGGAAACAGAGAACAGCCAGCAGGUCAUCAACCCAGUGCUAUCAGUACCGGACAUGAGUCCCAACAGACACCACAAACGCUCCAUACUGGUGCUCUGUUACAGAGGAAAGAAGAGGAGGGAAGAAGAGGACCAACCAGAGGAGGACCCUGAGUUUCAGGGUCCACCACCUAAGGGCCUAGUGGAGGAAUCCAGACCCCCAGGAACGCUGCGCUGGACAACUCCAGGAGCUGUGAGGAAGAAGACUCUAGGAGCUGUGCAGAAAAAGACUUCAAGAGCUGUGGAGAGAAAGACUUCAUUAGCUGUGAAGAAGACUCCUGGAGAUGUGAGGCAGAAGAAUCUAGGAGCUGAGCAGAAAAAGACUCAAGGAGCUGUGCAGAGAAAGACUUCAGGACCUGUGAAGAAGACCCCAGGAGCUAUGAUGAAGACUUCAAAGAGCAGUCAGCUCUGCAGUGAGAUGAAGAGUCAGCUCAGCCGUCAGCAGAGCAGCCAGCAGAGCAGUCAGCAGAGCAUUCAGCAGAGCAGCCAGCACAGCAGUCAGCAGAGCAGCCAGCACAGCAGUCAGCAGAGCAGCCAGCAGGGCAGUCAGCAGAGCAUUCAGCAGAGCAGCCAGCACAGCAGUCAGCAGAGCAGCCAGCAGAGCAGUCAGCAGGGCAGUCAGCAGAGCAUUCAGCAGAGCAGCCAGCAUAGCAGUCAGCAGAGCAGCCAGCAUAGCAGUCAGCAGAGCAGCCAGCAGAACAGCCAGCAGAGCAGCCAGCAGAGCAGCCAGCAGAACAGCCAGCAGAGCAGUCAGCAGAGCAUUCAGCAGAGCAUUCAGCAGAGCAGUCAGCUCACCCUUAAGGAGACCAAAUCUGGGCAAUAAAGCACAAUGGAGAUGCUAA
This 1073-nucleotide long non-coding RNA is filed under the name Chinchilla lanigera (long-tailed chinchilla). RNAcentral describes it as "lncRNA (ENSCLAG00000023860.1)". The record is from RNAcentral. Lineage: Eukaryota; Metazoa; Chordata; Mammalia; Rodentia; Chinchillidae.